Molecule: ribosomal RNA, 118 nt
Filed under: uncultured archaeon
Lineage: Archaea
Description: partial 16S ribosomal RNA
Rfam family: Archaeal small subunit ribosomal RNA
Source: RNAcentral
UUACGGGGCGCAGCAGGCGCGAACACUUUACAAUGCGGGAAACCGCGAUAAGGGAACCCCGAGUGCCAGCAUCAAAUGUUGGCUGUCCAGAUGAUAAAAAUCAUUUAGCACCUUAUUC